AUUCUGCCCAAGCGGGGAAGGAUGAGAAGCUUCGACCAAGGUUCGACUUGAGCGCCAGCGAGAGAGCGUUGCCGCAGGCAACGACCCGAAGGGCGAAGCGCGCAGCGCUGAGUAAUCCUUCCCCCACCCCCA
RNAcentral lists this small RNA (132 nucleotides) under Escherichia coli. RNAcentral's name for it is "RtT sRNA". It matches the Rfam family "RtT RNA". From Rfam's summary of the family: This family represents a bacterial cis-regulatory element known as RtT RNA. The exact function of RtT is unknown although it is thought that it may be involved in changing the cellular response in relation to amino acid starvation. Lineage: Bacteria; Pseudomonadati; Pseudomonadota; Gammaproteobacteria; Enterobacterales; Enterobacteriaceae. The record is from RNAcentral.